RNAcentral lists this non-coding RNA (27 nucleotides) under Mus musculus (house mouse). Lineage: Eukaryota; Metazoa; Chordata; Mammalia; Rodentia; Muridae. The record is from RNAcentral.
UGGUUAGCUAACAGAGAGUGCCUCACC